GACGAACGCUGGCGGCGUGCUUAACACAUGCAAGUCGAACGCUGAAGCUUGGUGCUUGCACUGGGUGGAUGAGUGGCGAACGGGUGAGUAAUACGUGAGUAACCUGCCCUUGACUCUGGGAUAAGCCUGGGAAACUGGGUCUAAUACUGGAUACGACAUGUCACCGCAUGGUGGUGUGUGGAAAGGGUUUUAGUGGUUUUGGAUGGGCUCACGGCCUAUCAGCUUGUUGGUGGGGUAAUGGUACACCAAGGCGACGACGGGGAGCCGGCCUGAGAGGGGGACCGGCCACACGGGGACUGAGACAGGGCCCAGACUCCAACGGGAGGCAAGAGGGGGAAAUAGUACACAGGGGGCGGGAGUCAGAUGCAGAGGCCGCGCGUGAGGGAUAACGGCCUUGGGGGUAAAAACCUCUUUGAGCACGGAAGGAGCGAAUGUGACGGUACGUGCAGAAGAAGCGCCGGCUAACUACGUG
This 472-nucleotide ribosomal RNA is filed under the name uncultured bacterium. RNAcentral's name for it is "partial 16S ribosomal RNA". It matches the Rfam family "Bacterial small subunit ribosomal RNA", at positions 28 to 507 of the family's 1533-position model. The record is from RNAcentral.